AGCGAACGCUGGCGGCAGGCCUAACACAUGCAAGUCGAACGGAUCCUUCGUGAUUAGUGGCGGACGGGUGAGUAACACGUGGGAACGUGCCCUUUGGUUCGGAACAACUCAGGGAAACUUGAGCUAAUACCGGAUGUGCCCUUCUGUGGAAACAUUUAUCGCCAUUGGAGCGGCCCGCGUCUGUUGAGCUAGUUGGUGAGGUAACGGCCCACCAAGGCGACGAUCAGUAGCUGGGCUGAGAGGCUGAUCAGCCACACUGGGACUGAGACACGGCCGAGACUCCUACGGGAGGCAGCAGUGGGGAAUCUUGCGAAAUGGGCGAAAGGCUGACGCAGCCAUGCCGCGUGAAUGAUGAAGGUCUUAGGAUUGUAAAAUUCUUUCAGCGGGGACGAUAAUGACGGUACCCGCAGAAGAAGCUCCGGCUAACUUCGUG
This 433-nucleotide ribosomal RNA is filed under the name uncultured bacterium. RNAcentral describes it as "partial 16S ribosomal RNA". It matches the Rfam family "Bacterial small subunit ribosomal RNA", at positions 29 to 507 of the family's 1533-position model. The record is from RNAcentral.